UUCCAGGGCCAGGCUAGUCCGCCCUGGGUGAGUCGGGACCUAAGGCGAGGCCGACAGGCGUAGUCGAUGGAUGACGGGUUGAUAUUCCCGUACCGGCGAAGCACCGCCCAUGCUGACGCGCGGGUGCUAACCCACGCCCGGCCGCCGUGUAGGCCGCGCCUACUCCUUUCGGGGGGUGGUGUGGUUGUGGUGGUGGGGUCUGGGGAUCCUCCGUGCAGGUAGGCAAGCGUGUUAACAGGGGUGACGCACAGUGGUAGCCCGGCGGACCUGAUGGCUUGGUCCGUUCAAGCGCGCAGCCCGUCCUCCAGGUAAAUCCGGGGUGACUGUCUUUGAUGACGGGGGUGAGGCGUGAUGGUGACCUCACGUUGGUGGGGGAUAGCAGGGUGAUCCUGGGGUGCCGAGAAAAGCCUCGACGCGAUGGUGCCAGCCGCCCGUACCCUAAACCGACACAGGUGGUCGGGCAGAGUAUGCCUAGGCGCACGAGUGAAUCAUGGUUAAGGAACUCGGCAAAAUGCCCCCGUAACUUCGGGAGAAGGGGGGCCCGAUCCCUUGAAGCCCCGUGGCGGGCUAGGGGGGUGGGUCGCAGAGGCCAGGGGGAAGCGACUGUUUACUAAAAACACAGGUCCGUGCGAAGCCGUAAGGCGAUGUAUACGGACUGACGCCUGCCCGGUGCUGGAAGGUUAAGAGGAACCAUCAACCCUCGGGUGAAGUGGUGAAUUUAAGCCCCAGUAAACGGCGGUGGUAACUAUAACCAUCCUAAGGUAGCGAAAUUCCUUGUCGGGUAAGUUCCGACCUGCACGAAUGGCGUAACGACUUCCCCGCUGUCUCAACCAUGAGCUCGGCGAAAUUGCAGUACGAGUAAAGAUGCUCGUUUCGCGCAGAAGGACGGAAAGACCCCGGGACCUUUACUACAGCUUGGUAUUGGCGCCCGCUAUAGCUUGUGCAGGAUAGGUGGGAGACUGUGAAGCCGUUACGCCAGUAGCGGUGGAGUCGUCCUUGAAAUACCACUCUGGUUAUGGCGUGCGCCUGAACCUGGGCCCGUGAUCCGGGUUAGGGACAGUGCCUGGUGGGUAGUUUAACUGGGGCGGUUGCCUCCUAAAGUGUAACGGAGGCGCUCAAAGGUUCCCUCAGCCUGGUCGGCAACCAGGUGUUGAGUGCAAGUGCACAAGGGAGCUUGACUGUGAGACCGACGGGUCGAGCAGGUACGAAAGUAGGAACUAGUGAUCCGGCGAUCCCGUGUGGGUGGGUCGUCGCUCAACGGAUAAAAGGUACCCCGGGGAUAACAGGCUGAUCCUGCCCAAGAGUCCAUAUCGACGGCAUGGUUUGGCACCUCGAUGUCGGCUCGUCGCAUCCUGGGGCUGGAGCAGGUCCCAAGGGUUGGGCUGUUCGCCCAUUAAAGCGGUACGCGAGCUGGGUUUAGAACGUCGUGAGACAGUUCGGUCCCUAUCCUCUGCGCGCGCAGGAGACUUGAGAAGACCUGUCCCUAGUACGAGAGGACCGGGACGGACGAACCUCUGGUAUGCCAGUUGUUCCGCCAGGAGCACGGCUGGUUAGCUACGUCCGGACAUGGAUAACCGCUGAAAGCAUCUAAGCGGGAAACCAUCUUCAAGACCAGGUCUCCACCACCCCCUCCUUUCUUUUUCGCUAUAGUGAAUAGAGGGGAGGGGUGGGAAGGCCCCCAGAUGAUGACUGGGUUGAUAGGCCGGAGGUGGACACCCAGUAACGGGCACCAAGCCGACCGGUACUAACACGGCCGAUCACACACAAGA
Molecule: ribosomal RNA, 1769 nt
Filed under: human oral metagenome
Description: bacterial LSU rRNA
Rfam family: Bacterial large subunit ribosomal RNA
Source: RNAcentral